AGCAGAUAGUUUACAUUAGGGUAUUUGCAUACAUCUGAUCCCCAUGUGUUUCAUAUCAAAAUGUUCAGAACAAACUUAGCUUUCCAUAUAGUGAUGGCCAAUUUUUUUCUAGAGCGAUGUGUAAAGAGAUAAUUUGGGGCUGAAACAUUCAUGUUGGCUUUUUGAAAUUCCUCAAAUCUCUUUUGAAAACAAACCUUAACUUAUGAUGCGUUGUACGGAUUGUUUCGGUGCUUAAAAUAAGUUUACCAAAGUCUUAGGU
Long non-coding RNA from Sander lucioperca (pikeperch), 259 nucleotides. RefSeq lists it as uncharacterized. The record is from RefSeq and is a predicted model, not a curated record. Lineage: Eukaryota; Metazoa; Chordata; Actinopteri; Perciformes; Percidae. The transcript has 3 exons.